Molecule: ribosomal RNA, 399 nt
Filed under: uncultured bacterium
Lineage: Bacteria
Description: bacterial SSU rRNA
Rfam family: Bacterial small subunit ribosomal RNA
Source: RNAcentral
AUUGAACGCUGGCGGCAUGCCUUACACAUGCAAGUCGAACGGCAGCACGGGAGCUUGCUCCUGGUGGCGAGUGGCGAACGGGUGAGUAAUACAUCGGAACGUACCCUGAAGUGGGGGAUAACGUAGCGAAAGUUACGCUAAUACCGCAUAUUCUGUGAGCAGGAAAGAGGGGGAUCGCAAGACCUCUUGCUUUAGGAGCGGCCGAUGUCGGAUUAGCUAGUUGGUGAGGUAAAGGCUCACCAAGGCGACGAUCCGUAGCGGGUCUGAGAGGAUGAUCCGCCACACUGGGACUGAGACACGGCCCAGACUCCUACGGGAGGCAGCAGUGGGGAAUUUUGGACAAUGGGCGAAAGCCUGAUCCAGCCAUGCCGCGUGAGUGAAGAAGGCCUCGGUUGUAAG